CAGGACCUUGCCUCCAUGCCUAUCCUGUCAGCCAAGAGUUUAUGAUUGCAGAGGCAUUAGGGCCUUUGUUGGCAGGACUGGGGACUGGGGUUCAGCCUUGAGGUUGUGGUUGGUGUGAUAGGAUGAGCUUAUGACAUGAUUCACCACCACAGUGUUCAUGGCUGGGGAAGCAUUUGUCCCAUUCCUGGUGUAAUUGGUGUGGGUGAGGCUGGAGUCCAAGUCUUGCAACUGCCUGGAGUUGAUUGCCUUGCAUACUUAGCAGUGGCUGUUUUCCGUGGAUAUUUGCAGGAGAUCCAUUCCUUUUUGGAAGACGGCCUGUACAGAAUGACCAGACACAAGGCAAAUGGUUGCUCGUAAGAACACCUGCCAUCUUUUCCUCGCAUUUUCCAUUCUGAGCCCAGCGUCCGAUGUGUGCUGCUCG
RNAcentral lists this long non-coding RNA (421 nucleotides) under Aotus nancymaae (Ma's night monkey). RNAcentral's name for it is "lncRNA (ENSANAG00000038792.1)". The record is from RNAcentral. Lineage: Eukaryota; Metazoa; Chordata; Mammalia; Primates; Aotidae.